UUUGAUUAUGGCUCGGAUUGAACCCGGCUGGCGGGAUGCUUUUACGCUGCAGUCAGGAACGUAACGGACUUCGGUCUGGUGGCGAGUGGCGAACGGGUGAGUAAUGUAUCGGAACGUGCCUAGUAACAUGGGGAUAACUGCGCGAAAGCGCUCGUACUUUCUCAGGGAAAGCGGAGACCUUCGGAUACUCGCACUAUUCGACAGCCGAUAUCGGAUUCCUUCGUAGUUGGUGGGGUAACUGGCUCCUGAGGCGGCGAAUCCAUGCUUCGGUUGCAGAGGACGAUAAUACGCUGGGACUGAGACACGGCCCGGAAGACUCACGGGAGGCAGCGGUGGGAAUUACCGGACAAUGGGGAAACCCUGAUCCAGCCAUCUGCGUGCCGCCGAUGAAGGCCUUCGGUUUAUAAAGCUUACUUUGGCGAGAAAGAAACGGCUGGAUAAUGCCGUGCAACUGACGAAUACCUGCCGGAAUAGCCACCGGCUAACUACGUGCCAGCAGCCGCGGCGGUAAAUACGUAAGGGUACAAGCGUUAAUCGAAGGAUUACUGGGCGUAAAGCGUGCGCAGGCGGUUCCGGAAAGAAGAUGUGAAAUCAGAGCUUAACUUUGGAACUGCAUUUUUGCUACCGAAGGCUAGAGUAUUCAGAAAGGAGGUGGAAUUCCGCGUAUCAACAGUGAAAUGCGUAGUCAUGGAGGAACCUCAAAUGGCACGAAACAGCCUCCUGGGAUGCUGACGCUCAUGCACGAAAGCGUGGGAGCAAACAGGAUUAGAUACCCUGGUGGUCCACGCCCUAAACGAUAUUCAACUAGCUGUUGGGGCCUUCAGACGCAGUGUACAACUAACACCGUGGUUGACCGCCUGAAGCCUAGUGCGGAAUUAAAACUCAAAGGAAUUGACGGGGACCCGCACAGCGGUGGAUGAUGUGGAUAUUAAUUCGAUUGCGCGAAAAACCUUACCUACCUUGACCUUAUCAGAAUCCGAAGAAUUUGGGGUGCUUUACUAGAGAACCCGAACAGGUGCUGCAUGGCUGUCGUCAGCUCGUGUCGUGAAUCAUUGGAUUAAGUCCGAAAACAGAGCAUAGCCAACAUCAUUGAAUUUGCUACGAAAGGGCACUCUAAUGAGACUACUGGUGAAGCCGGAGGAAGGUGGGGAUGACGUCAAGUCCUCAUGGCCCUUAUGGGUAGGGCUUCACACGUCAUACAAUGGUCGGGACAGAGGGUCGCCAGCCCGCGAGGGGCCAAUCCGAAAGCCCGAUGUAGUCGGAUCGCAGUCUGCAGCUCGACUGCGUGAAGUCAGAAUCGCUAGUAAUCGCGGAUUAGCAUAUCGGUGAAUACCGUUCAGGUCUGUACACACCGCCCGUCACACCACGAGUCAGGUUUUUACCAGAAGUAGUUAAGCCCUAACCAUCAGGAGGGCGAUUACCAUACGGUAGGAUUCAUGACUGAGGUGAUCGUAACAAGGUA
Molecule: ribosomal RNA, 1462 nt
Filed under: uncultured Bordetella sp.
Lineage: Bacteria; Pseudomonadati; Pseudomonadota; Betaproteobacteria; Burkholderiales; Alcaligenaceae
Description: partial 16S-23S ribosomal RNA intergenic spacer
Rfam family: Bacterial small subunit ribosomal RNA
Source: RNAcentral